CACACACACACACACACACACAUACACACACACACAAUCAACCCGUCUCUGUCUACUGUAUCUACUGUAUAUACUGAAACCACAGUGUGUUUCCUUCUUCUGAAAAGACCCAAUCUGUGGCACAACCUCUUUCAGGUCCUAAUACUUACAUGGUUAUUGUUUGCUUAAAGAGAAAUGAUUACCUUCUUACUAAAGCCAAUUCUAAAGUAUAGUUUCACCAGUCAUCUAACUCAGGCAUUUCAACGGUGGCGUGCUGGGAGACAAAUCCUCUACUUUCAUAUUGAAAUAUAACUGCGACUUUAUUCCCAAAAUGUGACUAUUCUCAAAAUAAAAUGUUAGUUUAUUCUCAAAAUAUUGCCACUCAAAACAUUGACUUUAGUCACAAAAAUGUUUUAAAUACUUUAUUCUGGAAAUAUCUACUUUAUUUACAAAGAAUUUCAUGGUUUUAAAGUACUAUUCAUGCAAAAUAAAAAUCCAACUACCAACACCACUAUGUUUAUAAUGGGCUGUUUAUUUCCUCUUCACUUGUCCCUGAUACUCUUCCGUAGUGUCUGUGUUAGGUAGGGACUGAUCAGUUGGUAAUCACUGUUUAUUUCCUGUGUUAGGUAGGGACCACCCAUCACUGUUUAUUUCCUGUGUUAGGUAGGGACCACCCAUCACUGUUUAUUUCCUGUGUUAGGUAGGGACCACCCAUCACUGUUUAUUUCCUGUGUUAGGUAGGGACCACCCAUCACUGUUUAUUUCCUGUGUUAGGUAGGGACCACCCAUCACUGUUUAUUUCCUGUGUUAGGUAGGGACCACCCAUCACUGUUUAUUUCCUGUGUUAGGUAGGGAC
Molecule: long non-coding RNA, 835 nt
Organism: Oncorhynchus gorbuscha (pink salmon)
Lineage: Eukaryota; Metazoa; Chordata; Actinopteri; Salmoniformes; Salmonidae
Exons: 2
Source: RefSeq, a predicted model, not a curated record